UACAAAGCGCGGUGUGACCCAAGCCAGGGAC
This 31-nucleotide non-coding RNA is filed under the name Mus musculus (house mouse). The record is from RNAcentral. Lineage: Eukaryota; Metazoa; Chordata; Mammalia; Rodentia; Muridae.